RNAcentral lists this ribosomal RNA (527 nucleotides) under extreme arid zone bacterium HX-IE05. RNAcentral's name for it is "bacterial SSU rRNA". It matches the Rfam family "Bacterial small subunit ribosomal RNA", at positions 846 to 1363 of the family's 1533-position model. The record is from RNAcentral.
CCGUAGCUAAACGGCAUUUAAGUGCCCCCGCCUGGGGAGUACNGGCCGCAACGGCUAAAACUCAAAGGAAUUGACGGGGGCCCGGCACAAGCGGCGGAGCAUGCGGAUUAAUUCGAUGCCACGCGAAGAACCUUACCAAGGCUUGACAUGAACCGGGUAACGCCUGGAGACAGGUGCCCCGCUUGCGGUCGGUUUACAGGUGGUGCAUGGUGGUCGUCAGCUCUUGUCGUGAGAUGUUGGGUUAAGUCCCGCAACCGAGCGCAACCCUCGUUCUAUGUUGCCAGCACGUGAUGGUGGGGACUCAUAGGAGACUGCCGGGGUCAACUCGGAGGAAGGUGGGGACGACGUCAAAUCAUCAUGCCCAUUAUGUCUUGGGCUUCACGCAUGCUACAAUGGCCGGUACAAAGGGUUGCGAUACUGUGAGGUGGAGCUAAUCCCAAAAAGCCGGUCUCAGUUCGGAUUGGGGUCUGCAACUCGACCCCAUGAAGUAGGAGUCGCUAGUAAUCGCAGAUCAGCAACGCUGCGGU